UAACGAGGAUUCCCUUAGUAACUGCGAGUGAAGCGGGAAGAGCUCAAAUUUGUAAUCUGGCGGUCUCUGGCCGUCCGAGUUGUAAUCUGUAGAGGCGUCGUCUGCGUCGGCCCGUGUACAAGUCUCCUGGAAUGGGGCGUCAUAGAGGGUGAGAAUCCCGUCGAUGACACGGAUGACCGAUGCUUUGCGAGGUGCCCUCGAAGAGUCGCGUUGUUUGGGAAUGCAGCGCAAAAUGGGUGGUAAAUUCCAUCUAAGGCUAAAUAUUGGCGAGAGACCGAUAGCGAACAAGUACCGUGAGGGAAAGAUGAAAAGCACUUUGAAAAGAGAGUUAAACAGUACGUGAAAUUGUUGAAAGGGAAACGCUUGAAGUCAGUCGCGUCUGGAGGCACUCAGCCAUGCUUCGGCUUGGUGUACUUGCCUUCGGAUGGGUCAACGUCAAUUUUGGCUGGUGGAUAAGGGUGAGGGGAAUGUAGCGUCAUUUAGGUGGCGUGUUAUAGCCCCUCGUCGAAUACACCAGUUGGGAUUGAGGACUGCAGCACGCCCUUGUGGCCGGAGGUUCGCCUCACGCAACGUGCUUAGGAUGUUGGCAUAAUGGCUUUAAGCGACCCGUCUUGAAACACGGACCAAGGAGUCUAACAUGCUUGCGAGUGUUUGGGUGGAAAACCUUUGCGCGUAAUGAAAGUGAAAGUUGGGAGCCUCUGUAAAAGGGGGUGCACCGACGCCCGGCCCUGACGUUCUCUGACGGUGCUGCGGUAGAGCAAGCAUGUUGGGACCCGAAAGAUGGUGAACUAUGCCUGAAUAGGGCGAAGCCAGAGGAAACUCUGGUGGAGGCUCGUAGCGAUUCUGACGUGCAAAUCGAUCGUCAAAUUUGGG
This 873-nucleotide ribosomal RNA is filed under the name Phylloporia sp. MUCL FG10_321. Its description in RNAcentral is "LSU rRNA". It matches the Rfam family "Eukaryotic large subunit ribosomal RNA", at positions 66 to 915 of the family's 3401-position model. The record is from RNAcentral. Lineage: Eukaryota; Fungi; Basidiomycota; Agaricomycetes; Hymenochaetales; Hymenochaetaceae. RNAcentral also lists the same sequence under 1 other name.